GGUCGCAUAGCUCAGUUGGGAGAGCACCUGCCUUACAAGCAGGGGGUCACUGGUUCGAGCCCAGUUGCGACCACCA
This 76-nucleotide transfer RNA is filed under the name Leptotrichiaceae bacterium. RNAcentral's name for it is "tRNA-Val". It matches the Rfam family "tRNA". Rfam says of the family: Transfer RNA (tRNA) molecules are approximately 80 nucleotides in length. Their secondary structure includes four short double-helical elements and three loops (D, anti-codon, and T loops). Lineage: Bacteria; Fusobacteriati; Fusobacteriota; Fusobacteriia; Fusobacteriales; Leptotrichiaceae. The record is from RNAcentral.